GCGAGAAGAAAAAAGAAGGGAACAAGAAACGCGCGUUACCGCGGGGAUCAAUCGUCACUGUAAAUUUUUGCACACGUGCACCGCGCGUGACACGAUCUUCGAUUUGUGAGUUCCAAGCCGAGUUCGUCGGAACUUUCGCUCCCGCGGAUUCUCGGGGAAGUAAUUUCCGGAUGGAAAACGGACAACUGAAAAAUGACGACACAUCUAACAAAAACUGACUAUUCAGGACGGCGAACGCUAUUGACACAGCCACUUCCGGGAACCCAUCCAACGCAGAAACGGCUGUUCUUUCGGAGACGUGGGAUUCCGUUAUCGAGGCCACCUACCGUGCAUAAAAGCUUCGAUGAAAAACUUUCCCAGCAGCAGCAGCAGCAGCUCGUAGCCAUUGUAAUGUACUCGCUAACGCUCCCCAUAAAAGGUUGCGAUAUACAUUUAUAUUCAGGCGCCACCGCGCCCUCCUACCGCCAAGUAUCAGAUUCUUUAAUUAAAUUGAACUCAGCUUCAUCCUGAUAAAAAUACCUGAGAAAUUAAUAGCUUUCGAGUUAAAAGCUGCUAACGACCGUCCGAAAGUAAAAAACGAAGACGAUAUCGCAAAUUAAGUUUCGGCACGAGUAGAUAGCAGAGUCUUUUUCAUUAAAUUUCAAGUAGGCUUCUCAUAACAUUUGCAUUCGGGAGUUAUGAAAUGCAGAAAUAUAAGACCCGAAUAUAUCAAUACAAAAUUGAAAUAAAAUGUUAUUACAUUUUAUUGCACGCGCAUGUCUAAUGUCACUGUGAGGCCCGUAAUAUUAUUAUGCAAAUCAAAUGCAAAGCAUUUUCUCCCGUAGCGCACGUCCGGAAAUUAAAUUUGCGCGGAGAGGUGUGCACGAACACUCACGGAGUAUUAUUGCUUUUCACACCCGCAUGCAGAAAUUUACCCGCAAAUAAUACUUCUCCGCCACACCACUAAGAAGUAAUUACAUUAAUGCGUCCCUUCAGUUGUAGCGCGACCGCGCAUUUUCAUUAAAAACUGCCUCUCUGUGCAAACGCGUGUGAUACGCUUCUCAAAACCAACGUAUGAUAAUGUGGCAAUCCUCGUUAAGGUUUCCUCAUUAAGGACAAUAUGAGAAUAUAUGUUUUCAGCGAAUGAGCAGAUGUAAAAACUGUAAAAGGAACAGCAGAGUGUACGCCGAUACCAGUUUCAUUUAUGCCGCUACUUUAUUAAGCAAGAUGGAAGCGGAAAUUAUGCUUAUUAUGCUCGCGCAAUUUCUUCGUUAAAAUUGCACGGAAUAUUUUCCUUGCAUUAUCUUUUCAUCGAGAGAACAAUUAACUUUAUUCUUUCGUCUAAAUUUCUUUACUUCCGGACGAUAACAAGAACGCGCUUCAGAAAAUUGCGACAGAUUAUGUGCUUUAUGCACAACCUAUCUCUCUCAAUUUCCAUACUAUUACAAUUCACAAUCAACCAUAUAGAACAACAUGUGCAGAAUAAUAUUUAUUAUUUAUUAUAUACACGAUGAAAUUGUUCAAUUUUACAUGUUUGCAUACACGAAAUAUUUUACUAAUAAAUCUAUCUGUAGAGAAAAAAAUUUCUGUUGAUAUUAUACAACCGAAUCCGAAAUUCUAUUAUCGAAUAUUUAUAUAUAUAAUAUGAAAUGUACAUGGCGUUAUAUUUUACAAAUGUCUAUUAAAGUUUCUUUGUUGUACAGA
Molecule: long non-coding RNA, 1683 nt
Organism: Ooceraea biroi (clonal raider ant)
Lineage: Eukaryota; Metazoa; Arthropoda; Insecta; Hymenoptera; Formicidae
Source: RefSeq, a predicted model, not a curated record